CAAUAAGAUACUUAAUUAGGCAUUUUUGUAGGUAAACUACGGAAAGCAUGAUACUGUAGUUAAUGUGUUAUAUGUUGUCAAAAAUGUAUUGAAUAAAAAAAAAUCUUUCGAAUAAAAAAAUCUUGCGCUUGACAUCAGGAAUUAGUCAUUUGUAAAACAAAAUGAUAAGCUAUGUCAAGUGUUACAUUGAACAGACAGAUUCAGAGGAGCCCGGUAAAGAUUUGUAGGUGUGUUUUAGAACAAUGCACUUGAAAACAAAACAAAACAUGAUGAUAAUUAGGUUAGAGAUAUCAGUGACUAACGGUGACUUAUUAUUUGAAUAGCCCGGGCUUAUGUGAAUACAAUUUUGACGUCUGUAACAAAGAGGAAAGGACGAUUGUUAUCGGUUCAUAUAAAACAAGAUUUGUACUGGUUCAGAGAUAUCAGUGACUUCCAGUGGUUUGUACAAGUUUUAUUAACCCGUUUCUGACGUCAUGUAACAUUUCUAUGCCUGUUCUAUAGGCCUACAUUUAGUAGAAAAUUUAGGGUAAGAACAUAGUUAAGUUGUUUCAACUUCAUUAAAUUAAGUGUUUAUUUAACGAAGUUUCCACGAAGAUUCACAUGGAAACUGUUCAGGUCAAGAACUGGGAUCUCGACGCUUACGAGGGCUUUCUGUUAGAGUUUCUAAACCAUAAGAAUGAAAUGAUUGAUUUCUUGAAGAAUUGAAAAGACAACAGGAGAUCUAACGAAGAGCAGUUAGAUGAUGCUAAGUAACAGUAAGUGUUACAAUUUAAUUUACAUUUUUACCUUUAAAACUUCCAAUUAAAUAUAUUUUUUUGUACGAAAUUAUUUUUUUAAUGUUAUUACAGUUCGAAUUUUUAAACGAUCUCGAUGAAGAAGAGGAGGAAAACGGAGAUACUGAUGAUAAAAUACGUUUUGCUGUGAACAUACAGUAUUUGAAAUUCAGAGACAUAGGCUUAGCAAAGCAUAUAGCAAAUUAUUAAAUAAUGAUGGUAAUAAACAAUGCGAGACGGCAGCUUGGCCAAGGUAAACUUAAGAAGAUGAUGUAUGAAGAUGAACAUGAAGACGAAGAAAACUAUGAAAAUGGGAUCGGGGAAACACGUUAAAAAAUUGGUAAAUAAUGUUCUGCUUUUGAUUAAUUAUCAGGGUUUAAAUAUAAUUUUUUUUUGUUUUUCAGUCUAUUCGUGGUGUUAAACGAUUAACAAAUUCUGAUGACGAAGAGGAUGGCAAUGAGGGCGAGUAAAGGGAUUUAGACAACAUGUACGUUAGAGAGCUAUCUAUUAUUCGGAAACUUAAAUAUAAGUUUAAUAAGGAAUUUAACAUGUUCGCUUUAGCAGGCUUAGAACAUGUUAGGGUCAUUGAAAUUUUACUGACGAUUUACGGAAUUUGUUAUUAUGUUUUAGAUAGUGUUUUGGAAAACGUACAAUCGUAUAUAAGAUCAGUUAUUAGGGCGAAUUGUUUAGAUAUCCCAAUUUCCUUACCAUUUAGACUAUUUCAAAAGUUCUCCAAUCUCAUAUGAAUAUUUUAGUUGGGGACGAUUUGCAAUUCAACAUUUUACAUAUUCCUACUGUAUGCCUAGUGGUGGUGGUGGUAAUCGUUUAAAAAAAGGGGUAUAGAUAAGAAUGUUGGGAUGGUAGAUGUUUAAUUCGUAUUAAAGAUGCAGAUGAUGAAAAUCUAGGUGGGAAAACGUUAAAAAGGGUAGAUGUCUUCAGAAAGAAGCGGCUGAACAAUUGUUAUUGAGGGCUGGGGUAGAUAAUGGUCUUUGUGGGAUAAAUGAGCUCAAACAAUUUCAACAUGUUCUAUCUGAUUAUCAAAUCAUUGUGAUUUCUCGGGAAAAUCUUCACUCAGUAAUUUUAGUGAGGAUCAUAAAGCAAAACACAUCACCACGAUAAUCACUGUAAUUUGAUAACAAAACUUACAGCCUUUUUAGAAGUUAUUUAUUUAUUUUUUUUGUAAUCUUUAAUUGUUUCAAGGGUUAUAAUCAUAAAUAUGAACAUAACUGUAAAUUUUUAUGCGAGUUACGGUAUGCAUUCUCACUAGUGUAUCCCUUCUGUAGACCCAUCUACCGUUGUCGAAUGUAAUGACGGCUUACGCUCAUUUAAAAUUAAAUGUUUUGAUAAUCAAAAAAGGUAAUACUACUGUUUGCGAUAGCAAAAAACUAUGUAGAAAUUGUAAUCGCUAUAUUAAGAAAGAUCAUAAUUGUAAGGAAUAUGUAGAGUUUGCAGAAGGAUGACAGAGACUUGUCGUCUUUGUUACAUGAAAAGGUGGUUAACAAUGUGGAAAAAUAUCUUUUUUGAUUUUGAAUGUACAGAGUGGGGUUCACAAUCCAAAUUUAUACUUCAAAAAAGCUGUUUAAAUUGUAUUAACGAUGAUCAAGAUUCUGAUCAAUGCGAAUUUGCGAGGAUAAAACCAACAUUUUUGACGGGGAGGAUGCCUGUUUUCAGUUUUGUGAAUACUUAUUUAAAGUAGUAUUCUUACAAUCAAAAUGUAAUAUGUAUUGCCAAUAAUUUUCAGGGUUAUGAUAAUUAUUUCAUUAUUCAGUUCUUACACUCUUACGGCGUUUUUCCGGAAGUUGUUUUUAGGGACGGAAAGUUAAUUUCAGUCAAAGAAAAGGAUACCUCGAUUCGAUUUAAUGAUUUGCUUUCUUUUUUGCCUAUGCCCCUAUCAAAAUUAGCUAAAACAUUCGGUAUUAAUGAACUGAAAAAGGUUACUUUCCCCAUAGGUUCAAUACCAUACAAAAUAAGGAUUAUGUACGAUUCCGAUAAGAUGUACCGGCUAGGGAUGAUUUCCUCACUCGGAAAUCAAAAGAAAUAUGAAUACUAAAUCACGAACUCAUAGUCUAUUGUAUAUGUGACGUUGAUAUAAUAUUGAGAAAGUGUUGCCUAACAUUUAGACAUAUUAGCUACGAGGCCUUAGG
This 2917-nucleotide long non-coding RNA is filed under the name Anneissia japonica. Its description in RNAcentral is "uncharacterized LOC117115583". The record is from RNAcentral. Lineage: Eukaryota; Metazoa; Echinodermata; Crinoidea; Comatulida; Comatulidae.